This 63-nucleotide transfer RNA is filed under the name Rattus norvegicus (Norway rat). It matches the Rfam family "tRNA". Rfam says of the family: Transfer RNA (tRNA) molecules are approximately 80 nucleotides in length. Their secondary structure includes four short double-helical elements and three loops (D, anti-codon, and T loops). The record is from Rfam by way of RNAcentral. Lineage: Eukaryota; Metazoa; Chordata; Mammalia; Rodentia; Muridae.
GGGGAUUUAGCUCAGUGGUAGAGCGCUUGCCUAGCAAGCACAAGGCCCUAGGUUCAGUCCCCA